AACGUAUGGGGCGAGCGUUGUCCGGAAUUACUGGGCGUAAAGGGCGCGUAGGUGGUCCAUUAAGUUAGAGGUGCAAGAUCGGGGCUCAACCCCGAGAUUGCCUCUGAUACUGGUGGACUUGAGUGCAGGAGAGGGGAGCGGAAUUCCCAGUGUAGCGGUGAAAGGCGUAGAUAUUGGGAGGAACACCAGUGGCGAAGGCGGCUCUCUGGACUGUAACUGAAACGGAGGCGCGCAAGCGUGGGGAGCGCACAGGAGGCGAUAACACCGGAGUCC
This 273-nucleotide ribosomal RNA is filed under the name uncultured bacterium. Its description in RNAcentral is "partial 16S ribosomal RNA". It matches the Rfam family "Bacterial small subunit ribosomal RNA", at positions 524 to 796 of the family's 1533-position model. The record is from RNAcentral.